GGACAGGUGGCCGAGUGGCUGAAGGCGCCGGUCUCGAAAACCGGUAUGCGCGUAAGCGUAUCGUGGGUUCGAAUCCCACCCUGUCCG
Molecule: transfer RNA, 87 nt
Filed under: Gemmatimonadota bacterium
Lineage: Bacteria; Pseudomonadati; Gemmatimonadota
Also listed under: 2 other names
Description: Gemmatimonadetes bacterium tRNA-Ser
Rfam family: tRNA
About the family: Transfer RNA (tRNA) molecules are approximately 80 nucleotides in length. Their secondary structure includes four short double-helical elements and three loops (D, anti-codon, and T loops).
Source: RNAcentral